Molecule: ribosomal RNA, 496 nt
Filed under: uncultured bacterium
Lineage: Bacteria
Description: partial 16S ribosomal RNA
Rfam family: Bacterial small subunit ribosomal RNA
Source: RNAcentral
ACGCACGCUGGCGGCGUGCCUAAUACAUGCAAGUAGCACGCUGAAGAGAGGAGCUUGCUCUUCUUGGAUGAGUUGCGAACGGGUGAGUAACGCGUAGGUAACCUGCCUUGUAGCGGGGGAUAACUAUUGGAAACGAUAGCUAAUACCGCAUAACAAUGGAUGACACAUGUCAUUUAUUUGAAAGGGGCAAUUGCUCCACUACAAGAUGGACCUGCGUUGUAUUAGCUAGUAGGUGAGGUAAUGGCUCACCUAGGCGACGAUACAUAGCCGACCUGAGAGGGUGAUCGGCCACACUGGGACUGAGACACGGCCCAGACUCCUACGGGAGGCAGCAGUAGGGAAUCUUCGGCAAUGGGGGCAACCCUGACCGAGCAACGCCGCGUGAGUGAAGAAGGUUUUCGGAUCGUAAAGCUCUGUUGUAAGUCAAGAACGGGUGUGAGAGUGGAAAGUUCACACUGUGACGGUAGCUUACCAGAAAGGGACGGCUAACUACGUG